AUUCCAGCUCCAAUAGCGUAUACUAAAGUUGCUGCAGUUAAAAAGCUCGUAGUUGGAUUUCUGGUCGUGGUCGCCGGUCGUGCCCAAACGGGUUCUGUACCUGGCGCCCGCGUCCACCCUCGGGGAGAGCGUGUCUGGCAUUAAGUUGUCGGGCUCGGGACCCCCGUCAUUUACUGUGAGCAAAAUAGAGUGUUCAAAGCAGGCUUAGGCCAUGAAUACAUUAGCAUGGAAUAAUAAGAUAAGACCUUGGUCUAUUUUGUUGGUUUGCAUUCCAAGGUAAUGAUUAAUAGGGAUAGUUGGGGGUAUUCGUAUUCAAUUGUCAGAGGUGAAAUUCUUGGAUUUAUGGAAGACGAACUACUGCGAAAGCAUUUACCAAGGAUGUUUUCAUCG
RNAcentral lists this ribosomal RNA (390 nucleotides) under Chrysophyceae sp. RNAcentral's name for it is "partial small subunit ribosomal RNA". It matches the Rfam family "Eukaryotic small subunit ribosomal RNA", at positions 582 to 975 of the family's 1831-position model. The record is from RNAcentral. Lineage: Eukaryota; Chrysophyceae.